GGAUGUGAGGGCGAUCUAGCUGUGACAUCUGUCACCCCAUUGAUCGCCAGGGUUGAUUUGGCUGAUUGGCUGAUCUGGCUGGCUAGGCGGGUGUUCCCUUCCUCCCUCACCGCUCCAUGUGUGUCCCUCCUGAAGCUGGGCACUCCAUCUAAGAGGACAGCCUUCCCCGAAUAGAGAUGGACCGGUCUUCGGUCGAGGGUAUACAAGUAGCUGCGCUUCCCUGCUAGAACCUCCAAACAAGCUCUCAAGAGAAUGGCACAGAAAAGAUAGUCCCUAAAUCUUCUGGAAGAAAUACAUUUGCUGCUACCUUGAUUUCAGAUACCCAUCUGCCAGAACUGU
This 339-nucleotide small nuclear RNA is filed under the name Erinaceus europaeus (western European hedgehog). RNAcentral's name for it is "7SK RNA". It matches the Rfam family "7SK RNA". Rfam says of the family: 7SK was discovered as an abundant small nuclear RNA in the mid-70s but a possible function has only recently been suggested. Lineage: Eukaryota; Metazoa; Chordata; Mammalia; Eulipotyphla; Erinaceidae. The record is from Rfam by way of RNAcentral.